RNAcentral lists this ribosomal RNA (1689 nucleotides) under Triticum aestivum (bread wheat). RNAcentral describes it as "partial small subunit ribosomal RNA". The record is from RNAcentral. Lineage: Eukaryota; Viridiplantae; Streptophyta; Magnoliopsida; Poales; Poaceae.
AUGGGUCGUCUCAAGGCAAGGGCACGGGAAGCCUCUGAAAGCAAUCAAAAGAAUGAACAUCGCUCCAUAUGCUUACACUCUUUUUCUGAUCUGUCACAUGUUUCUGCAGCUACUUUUAUGUAUCUUUUGAAGGACUGCUACUUCUAUGGAACCCACAAAGCAACCGCAAAGUUCAGGAUCCUUCAGCAGCAGGUUAAAAGAGCAUUAAAUAAUGCUCCUCAGCCAGGCCCAUUCACAUACAUUGUCCAAUGCAUGUACAUUAUACCUUUGUUGGGCCAAAGUCAUGCUGAAGGGUUCAGCCAUAUGUUGAUAUCUUCUCUAAGGCAUUUGAAAUCCGUGGAGUCAGUACAGAAGGAUUUUAUUGAUGCAAAGUGUCUUGCUGCACGGCUUGUUCUUGAUAUCCUUGCUUCUGUUGUACCCCAUGAAGAACGCAUACUGGUAAAGCUCCUUGAGACAUUCGAUAUUGAGUUGAAAGAUAUGGCCCAUGCUUUCCGUGGUUCAGAGUUGGGUGAUGAAGAUCUAGCGGCAGCAAGAGAACAUCUUAAACAGCAUGUGCAGUACUUUAUGAAAUCAGAAUCAUAUGUGACUGCUGUGGCCCUGAUGACACGCUUUUCCAUCCAAUGCUGUGAUGAGUCAUUUCUCAUGAAACUGAUUGGAAGUAAGCAAUACAAGGCAGCAGAGGAGUGGGCAGCUUUCAUGGGGAAAGAAAUGAUAAUUUUGAUAAUUCAAAAGUAUCUAGAUGUUAAAAUGCUAAAGAGCGCGAAUGAGCUGGUAAAACAAUAUGACCUUGCAGAAGAGUUUCCGGAUGUUAAUUAUUUGUAUAAAGAGAGUUUGCUAAAGAAGCUGGCAGAGAAAGGGUGCUGGGAUGUUGCAGAAGUCCGUGCCAAGAAGGAUACAAAGCUGAUGGAAUACCUGGUAUAUCUUGCUAUGGAAGCUGGCUAUAUGGAGAAGGUUGAUGAGCUUUGCGAACGGUACUCUCUUGAAGGUUAUGUCAAUUCUUUGGUUCCAGAAGAAGUCAUGUGUCAGUCUGACUACUUAGAGCUGAAGAAAUUGAUUUUAGAAGAGAUUGUCUGGGUUGAUGAGAUCAACGGAUUACUUAGUGCAACAACUUAUAUUGAAGCUUGUAAAAUUAUCGGUGUGGAUUGCGAAUGGAAACCUAAUUACGAGAAAGGCAGCAGACCUAAUAAGGUUGCUAUCAUCCAAAUUGCGUCAGAUAAGAAAGCUUUCAUCUUUGAUCUGAUUAAGCUGUAUGAAGAUGAUCCUAAAGCAUUGGACUGCUGCUUCAGGCGAAUCAUGUGUUCAUCUAACAUAUUAAAGCUGGGCUAUAACCUGCAAUGCGAUCUGCAUCAGCUGUCACAGUCGUAUGGAGAAUUGUUAUGUUUCCAGUCCUAUGAAAUGCUACUUGAUAUCCAGAAGCUGUUCAAAGAGACUACUGGUGGUCUCUCUGGAUUGUCAAAGAAAAUAUUAGGAGCUGGUUUGAACAAGACACGGCGGAAUAGCGACUGGGAGCAGCGACCUCUCAGCCAGAAUCAGAAAGAGUAUGCCGCUCUUGAUGCCGCGGUCCUUGUUCAUAUAUUCCAUCAUGUCAGGGGGCAACCUCAGUUUGGUGUAAACGAGGGACGCCAGGUGGAAUGGAAGUCUCAUAUUGUUUCCCGAGUAAAUCGUGCACGUAGUCCCUUGCGGUUCUAA